RNAcentral lists this transfer RNA (73 nucleotides) under Stegodyphus mimosarum. It matches the Rfam family "tRNA". Rfam says of the family: Transfer RNA (tRNA) molecules are approximately 80 nucleotides in length. Lineage: Eukaryota; Metazoa; Arthropoda; Arachnida; Araneae; Eresidae. The record is from Rfam by way of RNAcentral.
GCCUUCGUGGUGUAAUUGAAAGCAUACUCGACACGUAUUCAAGAGGACCAGGGUUCAAAUCCUGGUGAAGGCA